UUCUGGAAGUUCACCAUGAUACUUCCCACCACUCUAAGGAUACAUGGUUCACCCUAGUCCAAGAAUCAAACCCUAACAAAAAGGGAUGAACAGCAGAGAAGGGAGAUGUGAGUCCUGCCUGGACCAACACGGAUUAAGGAAGGCAUCUAGGAGAUGAAACCCAAAUAGAAGAUUCUUGGAGUUCAUCAUCCAAUGUGAUCUCAUUACACUCAGCCCUGUCCUUCAACACACUCACAAUGGAGCCCUUUGAUCUCUUCCUUGGGUCAUGGACUGAUGAUGAUGGCUCAUAAACCAGAUCAACUGAUACAGUUUCUCACCCAAAUUCCCUCCUCGCAUAUGGUUCUCUCCUUCCUGCCCAAGGCUACUGACUGUAUGUACAGUGUAUGCUGAAAGCACACUCACUCCUGGAAGGUGACACCUCACAGAAACCAUAGACACAGCUUAAUCGAUGAUCAUUAUAAGAAGCUCUGCCAAUACCUUGGACUAAAGCUCCUGAAAGGGGGACUUCCAUGUCAGGAUUGCCUUCUUUCACUAGCAUACACCUCAGCCUCCAUGGCUACUGUUGGUCUCCUGGCACCCUCUCCAACCAAUCCAAUCUGUUAGCUCAGAAUCCGACCUUCCCAUUGGCUGCUGCCUCGUUUAUGACACCAUUCUCUCUCCAACUCAACCUACCAACCCUGGUAGGUUCUUGGGGUUGCCAUGGCAAUGCCUGUAAACAAAUUUGGAUCAUCACAGGUCACCUGUGACCAGUGACCAGUAAGUGCUGUCUGAUACCGGACACACUUGCGACUCAGGUCAGCUGAUUAGACAAGGACAAGCAAAUUCUCUUGCUCCAUUGUACUGUGGACUACUGAUACUCUUCCUCUGACCAUGGCAGGCUUUUUAGCAGCAGUUCAGCUGAGAUCCAUUCCAGUGAGAACUCAGAGACUUUCAGUCUGAGGAAACAAGAUCAACUGUGGAGUUAAUGAGAAAGGACCGACCAAAGCCUAUUUAGAUUCCAGCCAGAAAUGUCAACAUCACCCCACCAACCAAAAAGAUGGCUCAUCUCUCAUUGGCUGGUCAGGGACGGAGAAGGCUGAAGAAACCCCACCCCUUGUAAACAACAAAAUCUCCGGAAAGGACAUCCAUGAUCUGGUGGCAACUGCACAAGCCAUAUGUUGUUCCCCACCCCAUCCUCCUUUCUGCUAUUUUAAUGGCAGCCUUUGUUAUAUUACAGGCCUGCCUGCCACUGUUUAACCCUCUAGUUCUCAACUCACACCCAACACUGGUAUUUUUUUUCCCUUCAGGAAACCUAUGAGGAUAAAAAUCUAUGAGAGUGGAUCCAUGGAUUACCCCAACCAAGGAUGCUGUUUCUGUUUCAAAAUGUAAAUAAUCAUUUCACCAUUAUAAUAGAUGACCUCUGAAAUGAAAGAUAAAGAGCAAGAGUCGUGGAAAAACUGCAUCCCACUGGUUAAGCUGUGUAUCCCUCUGCUGCUAUUCAUAUUUCCCAAGAGCUGGUGCGGACCUCCCAGUCCACACUAACCCAUAAAAAUAUUCUUCAGCGGGAGAUAUAGCUAAGAAGACAUGCGCAGUCCACCCUAGCUACAGUAUGUUAAGUAUGUUGUUAACUUUCUCCCUUUCACCAUCCACCCUAAUGCAUCUAACUGCUUCUUUUAUACAACCAACAAUAGACCUCUGCUGACUCUCCUUUACCCCAAGACAAUGUCUCACUAACAUCACUAUUUCCAGGCUGACAGGCAUCACCCUUCCCCUUCCUCUUUGCUGUAAGAGAAAGCUAACUUCCUGCAUAGACACCCCCUGUGAGGGUUUUGCACCACAGCUGUGAUUAUUCCAUAGGUCUAUCUAUAUGAGGAGAAAGAAUUGACACUGCUUCUAACCAAAGAUGAAAGAUAUUCCUUCCGUUACUGUUAGAAAUAGAACUUGCCAUCUCCCUUGGAUGUUCUGGGGCUACAACAACAACCAUUGUCCAGACACUCAUCUAGCUAGAGACUUCAGAUACAGACUUGAUCAGACCAUAGCAUCCACACCUGAGAGCCUUGAGUCACUUCAAAGACAAAUGAACUCUCUUGUUGGAGUUUUACUCCAAAACAGAAGAUCACUGGACCUAAUAACUGCUGAACAUGGGGGGACUUGUAUGGUCUUGAGAGAAGAACAUUAUUUCUUUGUCAAUGAGUCCAAUUUAAUGGAACAAAAUGUAAAGACACUUGAAGCCCCAUGCAAAGAUCUCCAGGCCCAGCAUCAGUCCCAGAAAUCUUUAUCCUGGAUCCAUAACCCCUUGUUUUCCUGGCUCCUAUGCUUUAUUGGUUCUCUGAUUAUGCUGUGUUUUAUUUUGAUGCUUGCCCCCUGCUUUAUUCAAUUCCUCUGGCCACAGAUCACCACCAUUGCUAAACUUACCAGCAAUGAGGUCAUGGUUCACUACCAUGCCCUGGACCCUUCUGAAAUGGGCAACAGGUUUCAUAGGACUUACAAUGACACCUCUCCAUUAUAAAAUAAGGCAGGGGGAGAUGUUAGAAGACGUUGUUGGCUGAUAGAGGUUGCACUCUACUCUACCACAGCUUGGCAGUUUUCUCUAAGCUUCACAAUAUGGAAAAGCCCUCCCUCCCCAGCAAAGCUUCCCCCUCUCUACCCAGCCUUAUCUGAAGGAUGUCUCUAGGCCCAGGAUGCCUGACUUAUUCCAAGGGUGACCCUUUACGUAGCAUAGUUCCCUGAAAAGGCUCUCUCCUUGUUGACUCACAUGGUAAUUAGGCAAGUGCUCUAGCCAUUUUGAUAGGACCUUACUGCCAAAUACAAAGCCUUAUAAUAGAAGUGUGUCACUUAAUGCAAAUUAGGGUUCAUCCCCAGGCUCCCCAAUCCUACAUAUUUCUUAUACUUUGGGAUAAAGUUGAGUUGAUUCACCAAAAUCUAUCUCCCUGAGAGCUGUCUCCAUUAGUGUUCAUGGGCCGCAUACAAAGCUUUCUGUGUCUGCCACUGACUCUUGCCCUCCCAACCUAGUGGCUGACAGGCCAAGAGGAAAAGAAGACCCCCCACAAAGGAUGGACUUUGGCAGUAACAGUGUUCAAUAUGGUUUCUUAGAUCUUACCAAGUGCAGCACUCCGGCAAGAGAGGAUGGUAACAGGGAGAACAUGCUUGGUAAAGGGAAAUUACUACCCCUUCCACUUGAGGCGUCAUGGAGCUUAAAUCAGUUAUAAAAACAAAGUCCAUUAAAUAAAAAUUUUCUUAAAAUGA
This is a long non-coding RNA of Peromyscus eremicus (cactus mouse), 3225 nucleotides long. RefSeq lists it as uncharacterized. Lineage: Eukaryota; Metazoa; Chordata; Mammalia; Rodentia; Cricetidae. The transcript has 3 exons. The record is from RefSeq and is a predicted model, not a curated record.